CCUACGGGAGGCAGCAGUGAGGAAUAUUGGUCAAUGGACGAGAGUCUGAACCAGCCAAGUAGCGUGAAGGAUGACUGCCCUAUGGGUUGUAAACUUCUUUUAUAAGGGAAUAAAACGAGGCACGUGUGCCUUUUUGCAUGUACUUUAUGAAUAAGAAUCGGCUAACUCCGUGCCAGCAGCCGCGGUAAUACGGAGGAUCCGAGCGUUAUCCGGAUUUGUUGGGUUUAAAGGGAGCGUAGAUGGGUUGUUAAGUCAGUUGUGAAAGUUUGCGGCUCAACCGUAAAAUUGCAAUUGAUACUGGCAGUCUUGAGUACAGUUGAGGUAGGCGGAAUUCGUGGUGUAGCGGUGAAAUGCUUAGAUAUCACGAAGAACCCCGAUUGCGAAGGCAGCUUACUAAACUGUGACUGACAUUGAUGCUCGAAAGUGUGGGUAUCAAACAGGAUUAGAUACCCCAGUAGUC
This 460-nucleotide ribosomal RNA is filed under the name uncultured bacterium. RNAcentral describes it as "partial 16S ribosomal RNA". It matches the Rfam family "Bacterial small subunit ribosomal RNA", at positions 338 to 795 of the family's 1533-position model. The record is from RNAcentral.